UCUCCGUUGGUGAACCAGCGGAGGGAUCAUUACCGAGUUUACAAACUCCCAAACCCUUUGUGAACCUUACCAUAUUGUUGCUUCGGCGGGACCGCCCCGGCGCCUUCGGGCCCGGAACCAGGCGCCCGCCGGAGGCCCCAAACUCUUAUGUCUUUAGUGGUUUUCUCCUCUGAGUGACACAUAAACAAAUAAAUAAAAACUUUCAACAACGGAUCUCUUGGUUCUGGCAUCGAUGAAGAACGCAGC
Molecule: unclassified non-coding RNA, 246 nt
Filed under: uncultured fungus
Lineage: Eukaryota; Fungi
Description: sequence contains ITS1, 5.8S rRNA gene
Rfam family: 5.8S ribosomal RNA (bases 198-246)
Source: RNAcentral